ACGGGUGAGUAACGCGUGGGAAUCUACCGUACCCUACGGAAUAGCUCUGGGAAACUGGAAGUAAUACCGUAUACGCCCUUCGGGGGAAAGAUUUAUCGGGGUAUGAUGAGCCCGCGUUGGAUUAGCUAGUUGGUGGGGUAAAGGCCUACCAAGGCGACGAUCCAUAGCUGGUCUGAGAGGAUGAUCAGCCACAUUGGGACUGAGACACGGCCCAAACUCCUACGGGAGGCAGCAGUGGGGAAUAUUGGACAAUGGGCGCAAGCCUGAUCCAGCCAUGCCGCGUGAGUGAUGAAGGUCUUAGGAUUGUAAAGCUCUUUCACCGGAGAAGAUAAUGACGGUAUCCGGAGAAGAAGCCCCGGCUAACUUCGUGCCAGCAGCCGCGGUAAUACGAAGGGGGCUAGCGUUGUUCGGAAUUACUGGGCGUAAAGCGCACGUAGGCGGGUAUUUAAGUCAGGGGUGAAAUCCCAGAGCUCAACUCUGGAACUGCCUUUGAUACUGGGUAUCUUGAGUAUGGAAGAGGUAAGUGGAAUUGCGAGUGUAGAGGUGAAAUUUGUAGA
Molecule: ribosomal RNA, 557 nt
Filed under: uncultured bacterium
Lineage: Bacteria
Description: bacterial SSU rRNA
Rfam family: Bacterial small subunit ribosomal RNA
Source: RNAcentral